Hippoglossus stenolepis (Pacific halibut) is the source of this 2788-nucleotide RNA transcript. It is a transcript of the gene named gastrula zinc finger protein XlCGF8.2DB, with no coding region annotated. NCBI's taxonomy places the organism in Eukaryota, Metazoa, Chordata, Actinopteri, Pleuronectiformes, Pleuronectidae. The transcript has 5 exons. The record is from RefSeq and is a predicted model, not a curated record.
GUCACAGAAAGGGGCGGGGGAAGUGUCAAUCAGAAGCUGCCCCUUGGAAUUGCAGGACAAGGUCAGUGACAUGAGAUUCUGACCAGAUUCAUGUCAAACAGGUUUGAUCGCUUAGCCACCGUUAGAAAGCAGCUAACGUUGACCUCCAGUCCAGCAGAGGUCGCUGCUCGCUCCGCGCCGUGCUUCGCUCGCCUCUACGCAAACUAUCGUUGACGCGGAAGUCGGGGUCUGUAUUUACCUCCAGCUGACUCUUUGUUUGCUCUGGGACUCGAACUGCGAACGGAACAGGACGAUGUGCGCCGUGCAGCUGAUGCGGGUGUCAGUACAUGAGCGGAUCAGCGCCGCGGCCGAGGACUUCCUGCUGCAGGUGGACAAAGGGCCGGAAGCGGCUCGUGUCCUGCUGCUGAGGCCGCUGCUCCUCGAGCGGCUGAAGGCGGCGGCGGAGGAGAUCGUCGGCCUGUUCGAGGAAACCGUGGCGGAGUACGAGGACAUCGUGCAGCGGUCGGAGCGGGAGAUCUGCCGCCAGAGGAGGCUGCUCGAUGCCGUGUUGAAGCCCGAAGUCAGGCUGCACCGAGCAGACGUCCAGCAACUAAAGGUGAACGAGGAAGCGGUUCCUUCUGAGUAUCAGGAUUGGAUCCCCAGUGUGGACCAGGAGGACUCAAAACCCCCCCACAUCAAAGAGGAACAGAAUGAGCUGUGGAUCAGUCAGGAGGGAGAGCAGCUUCAAGAACUGGAGCAGACUGACAUUAUCAAGUUCACAUUUACUCCUGACACUGUGAAAACUGAAGGAGAUGAGGAGAAACCUCAGUCCUCACAGCUUUAUCAGGGUCAGACUGAAGAGGACAGAAAGGACUGUGGAGGACCAGAACCAGCCAGGAACUCUGGUCCUGAUGUACAUUUACAACCAUGUCCUGAGGACACGACCAUAAACACUGAUGUUGAUGGGAUAGAGACCAGGGAACCUAAGCCUAUGCACCCGUCUAUAAUCAGGAGUGGACGACAGUUAGUGAGCACAUCCCACCACGGUUUUGAACAGUUUGGUUGUCCUCUGUGCCCGAAAUUCAUCACCUCACGAGGCGACACGAUACGGAGACACCUGAACGCCCACGUACAUAAUGCAGUGCAUCUCCAAGACAUCAUCAUUUGCCGAUGCAACAUGUCGUGCAGAGGCACUGGUCAUUACCACUGUCCAAACUGCGCUAAGACAAUCAUGCGCAGAGAAGAUAUGGUGUUACAUGUGACUGGAUGCAAGAGAACAAGUGAUGUAACACCAACGCCAGGUGAAACAACCUCCUUGGUCUCACACCCAUCACGGACACCUAGAGCUGAUAUCAGCCCACCUGCACUAUCCCCAUCAUUGGUGUUCAUUCCAAGCAUUUGCUUCACAAGAGAUGUCAGCACAUGCUUCAGGAUACACAAAACCUGAUUCGGAGAGUUGAACCUUCUGGAUUUUGUCACAGAUGUCAUGCCACCAGGGUGCCUCCACACCCCCAGCAGACCAUGGUGUACAACACUGCAGAUGUCUCCACAGUGUCGUAAAAAGUCCUCAACAGUGUCCUGCCCACUUGGAAGGACCUCAGUCCCCUCAGCAGAUGGAGACGACUCUGGCCCUUCUACUGCACGACGUCUGUGUUGGUGGACCAGUCCAGCACAGAGUGAGCUGACCUGCAGGAUGAGCUUCAACUGGAAGAAACUGUCAAUAAGGUGAAGGAAAAUGUUCUUUAGAAUUAUUCACAGAUAUUAACCUGCCAAUCACUACAUAGUGAAUUUCAAAAGACAUAAACUUUACCUCAUUGAUUUAUUGAUAUGGCUUGAAGUCUUGAUACUUGUAAAUCAGUCAUUUUUACUGUAUCAAUUAACAGAAACUACAAAUUCAAUAUCCCACAUAAGUAGUUAGACAAAGAAGUAUAUGUGGAAUAUACCUUAAAUAUUGUGGGCCGUAGUAUAUUCCACAACAUGAGAUAACGCACGAUCAUCAUUUACAUCUGAACAUGAAUCACAAUGAAAUGAGGCAAUUUACCCGUGAGUGACAUUUUUCUAUAGACAACAUAAACAGCAGCAGAUGAAUUAAACUUCAUCCUCACAAGAAGUAAACAGUAAACAAAAUUGUAUUUGGGUGGAAUAAGCCUUUAAAACCAUAGGGUCAAGAAAUGUGGUCCUCACCCUCCAGUAUUGCAGGAAGAUAAUAUGGCCCAGCAGGGGGCAGUAGCGUAUCAAAAAUGUGUGCCGGAUGUUUGACCUGUUACUUUUUUUAAAUAAGCGAAUAGACGGUAAAUAACAGUAAUCCAAUGGUUUAAAACCAAUCCAGUGGCAAACAUCUCUACGUCUGAGGUUAAAGGGUUAAAGCCUUCCUUUUUGAUAAAGCUUCUAGUUAGAGUUGGUUCAGGUUUGUCUUGGACCAGCUCUGUUAUGCUGCUAUAGGUCUAGAAUGUCAGGGGACACAGGACACAUGCAGCUUCUCCUUCCUCCUCCCCCUCUUCAUCACACCUAUAUGUGGCAUCAGUUCAUGUUACUGACUUAACUUCUUCCCUGGCAUCCGUGUGCCAGGAGAUCCAGGAUCUCGGCUGCAGCGACAUCGCAGAUUGUGAUGGUGGAUCAUGGAUUGUGGUGGCAUCUGAUGGUGGAUUAUGUUUACACCUAGAUUGCGUAGAUAUACAAUUUGCGUACUCACAUUAUUUGCAAUACCUCUUUCAUUACAGUUUCCAUUGCUGCUCCCUUCAUCUCUGUCAGACUUUUUCUUUGAGUUAUGCACAAUAUCUAUAUCUGUCUGUCCUGGGAGAGGGAUCCC